AGUGAACGCUGGCGGUAGGCCUAACACAUGCAAGUCGAACGGCAGCACAGUAAGAGCUUGCUCUUACGGGUGGCGAGUGGCGGACGGGUGAGGAAUACAUCGGAAUCUACUUUUUCGUGGGGGAUAACGUAGGGAAACUUACGCUAAUACCGCAUACGACCUACCGGUGAAAGCAGGGGAUCUUCGGACCUUGCGCGAUUCAAUGAGCCGAUGUCGGAUUAGCUAGUUGGCGGGGUAAAGGCCCACCAAGGCGACGAUCCGUAGCUGGUCUGAGAGGAUGAUCAGCCACACUGGAACUGAGACACGGUCCAGACUCCUACGGGAGGCAGCAGUGGGGAAUAUUGGACAAUGGGCGCAAGCCUGAUCCAGCCAUACCGCGUGGGUGAAGAAGGCCUUCGGGUUGUAAAGCCCUUUUGUUGGGAAAGAAAAGCAGCAGGUUAAUACCCCGCUGUUCUGACGGUACCCAAAGAAUAAGCACCGGCUAACUUCGUG
RNAcentral lists this ribosomal RNA (492 nucleotides) under uncultured bacterium. Its description in RNAcentral is "partial 16S ribosomal RNA". It matches the Rfam family "Bacterial small subunit ribosomal RNA", at positions 29 to 507 of the family's 1533-position model. The record is from RNAcentral.